GGUAGUGUGGCCGAGCAGGCUAAGACGCUGGAUUCAGGUUCCAGUCUCCUCGGAGGCGUGGGUUUGAAUCCCACCGCUGCCA
Rhincodon typus (whale shark) is the source of this 82-nucleotide non-coding RNA. Lineage: Eukaryota; Metazoa; Chordata; Chondrichthyes; Orectolobiformes; Rhincodontidae. The record is from the annotation of a RefSeq genome assembly.